AGGUAUUUAGUUUAAUGGCAAAACCGUAACCUUCAAAGUUAUAUUCGGAAGUUCGAAUCUUUCAAUACCUG
RNAcentral lists this transfer RNA (71 nucleotides) under Komagataella phaffii. Its description in RNAcentral is "tRNA-Trp". It matches the Rfam family "tRNA". Rfam says of the family: Transfer RNA (tRNA) molecules are approximately 80 nucleotides in length. Their secondary structure includes four short double-helical elements and three loops (D, anti-codon, and T loops). Further hydrogen bonds mediate the characteristic L-shaped molecular structure. tRNAs have two regions of fundamental functional importance: the anti-codon, which is responsible for specific mRNA codon recognition, and the 3' end, to which the tRNAs corresponding amino acid is attached (by aminoacyl-tRNA synthetases). tRNAs cope with the degeneracy of the genetic code in two manners: having more than one tRNA (with a specific anti-codon) for a particular amino acid; and 'wobble' base-pairing, i.e. permitting non-standard base-pairing at the 3rd anti-codon position. The record is from RNAcentral. RNAcentral also lists the same sequence under 1 other name. Lineage: Eukaryota; Fungi; Ascomycota; Pichiomycetes; Pichiales; Pichiaceae.